Molecule: ribosomal RNA, 700 nt
Filed under: uncultured beta proteobacterium
Lineage: Bacteria; Pseudomonadati; Pseudomonadota; Betaproteobacteria
Description: bacterial SSU rRNA
Rfam family: Bacterial small subunit ribosomal RNA
Source: RNAcentral
UGCACCUGGUGGCGAGUGGCGAACGGGUGAGUAAUAUAUCGGAACGUACCUUAUUGUGGGGGAUAACGCAGCGAAAGCUGUGCUAAUACCGCAUAAUCCCUAAGGGGGAAAGCGGGGGACCGUAAGGCCUCGCGCAAUUAGAGCGGCCGAUACCUGAUUAGCUAGUUGGUGAGGUAAAGGCUCACCAAGGCAACGAUCAGUAGCUGGUCUGAGAGGACGAUCAGCCACACUGGGACUGAGACACGGCCCAGACUCCUACGGGAGGCGGCAGUGGGGAAUUUUGGACAAUGGGGGCAACCCUGAUCCAGCAAUGCCGCGUGAGUGAAGAAGGCCUUCGGGUUGUAAAGCUCUUCUGUCAGGGAAGAAACAGCAGCUCUAACACAGUCUGCGAAUGACGGUACCUGAAGAAUAAGCACCGGCUAACUACGCGCCAGCAGCCGCGGUAAUACGUAGGGUGCAAGCGUUAAUCGGAAUUACUGGGCGUAAAGCGUGCGCAGGCGGUUAUGUAAGACAGGCGUGAAAUCCCCGGGCUUAACCUGGGAAUUGCGCUUGUGACUGCAUAGCUAGAGUAUGUCAGAGGGGGGUAGAAUUCCACGUGUAGCAGUGAAAUGCGUAGAGAUGUGGAGGAAUACCAAUGGCGAAGGCAGCCCCCUGGGAUAAUACUGACGCUCAUGCACGAAAGCGUGGGGAGCAAACAGGA